AGUGAACGCUGGCGGUAGGCCUAACACAUGCAAGUCGAACGGCAGCACAGGAGAGCUUGCUCUCUGGGUGGCGAGUGGCGGACGGGUGAGGAAUACAUCGGAAUCUGCCCAGUCGUGGGGGAUAACGUAGGGAAACUUACGCUAAUACCGCAUACGACCUUCGGGUGAAAGAGGGGGAACGCAAGACCUCUCGCGAUUGGAUGAGCCGAUGUCGGAUUAGCUAGUUGGCGGGGUAAUGGCCCACCAAGGCGACGAUCCGUAGCUGGUCUGAGAGGAUGAUCAGCCACACUGGAACUGAGACACGGUCCAGACUCCUACGGGAGGCAGCAGUGGGGAAUAUUGGACAAUGGGCGCAAGCCUGAUCCAGCCAUACCGCGUGGGUGAAGAAGGCCUUCGGGUUGUAAAGCCCUUUUGUUGGGAAAGAAAUCUUUCAGGCUAAUACCCUGGGAGGAUGACGGUACCCAAAGAAUAAGCACCGGCUAACUUCGUG
Molecule: ribosomal RNA, 490 nt
Filed under: uncultured bacterium
Lineage: Bacteria
Description: partial 16S ribosomal RNA
Rfam family: Bacterial small subunit ribosomal RNA
Source: RNAcentral